AUGGGGCACAAGUCGGGAGGGAUGGGGAGGGUUUGUCUCUCAUGCAAGCUGGUUUUGUUUACUUCUUCAUGCCACUCUCUCACCCACUCUGCAUUUCUCAUGUAUGUUUUCAGCAGACUCCACGUAGUUUUCAGGUGCGUGCUGCUGCUACUUCCUUGCUCGACUACAGUUUGUUCUUUUCUGCAACUUUUACUGGACUUGAACGAGAUAUCCAUGUUCUGUACCUUUGUGACCAUCUCCGACUCUGUCAUCCCCUUUUGUUCAGAAGGCUCACUGGUGUUGCAAUACUCCAUCAUCCCAGCACUGCAAACAGCCAUGGUGGUACCUGCCAUCACCCACAUAGAGACCAUCCUGCAUGGUGCUGGGUGGCCAAGCAGCACCUUGGCGUGGGGCCAGCCCAGUUCUGAGGAUCUCUUCUGGGCAUCUUUCUCUGAUGAGGCAUGUCCCAGUUUGCCUCCUAAUGCCCAAUGUCCCCGUGACCAAGGGGGAUUAUAACAUCUCACGGGUGGUGCUCCAGGCUGGGCCUUGGUGGGAGCUGCAGUACCUUCGGAGUAAAACAAGGCAGAUUGAGGAAAACUGGGAUCAGACCUUCAAAGGCUCAGUACGAACUGGCCAAGGUUCAACCUCCCCCAUUGACAGUGGGUUGUUGUUUUUAACUCACAGUCAGCUUUAUACAUCUGCACUGAAAAGUCUUGACUGAUGCUCAAGGGAAGAUGCUUUGUUGAUUCUACUAUAAAACAAGGACUUCUGCAGAUCAUCUCUCAGCAAAUUGGGCAGCUUCCCUUCACAACUGAUCCUGGUACUUGCUUUAUUUCAUGCUAUAUGGUCUAUGGUUUCAGUGAAAGAGAUGAUGUGUGGAUUGAUAGGUGGAAAGUGUUAUCUUCUAAUUGUGUUUGUGAAAAGGCCGGGAUCCUGAUUCCUUCUGGGGCCACAAGACAUCACUAGAAUGACAGCUCCACAGUAUAUGCAGCAAAGAUAGCAAUUACAUAGAUGUCAGAAGGAAAGGAGUUGCCAGCUUAGUACAGAACAGUGUUAACACCUUAGUUUUUUUUAAAUUUGAAAUAAUAUUUAACUGUGUCUCUAGAUUCAUCAGGGCCAUUCUUUGGGGAAGUACUCAUUCAAAUCUUUGCAUAUGUCAUUUUACCUCGUUACACACACCAACAUAAAGGUUCAGUGUCAGAAAAUCUCCGAGCUGCAGACUGGAGCUCGGUGUUGCCAUACUGCUCACCCCUCUCCUGCUCUGUUUGCAUCUGUUCUUGACAGCACUCAGCCAGGCUUAUGGGCUCCACAGACCAGACACUCCAGUGUUCUUCGUGGCCUGGCUGGAGGGUUUAGCCUGAUCUCUAUCUGGCUUGUUCUUCACAAGUGGUACUUGCAAAGGAACACAGACUCACUGCAACAAGCCCCUUUCUCAUAACACUCAGAAGAGCAGAAAAGCAGAGUAAAUCUAUGUCCAGAGCAAUAGAAGUAAUAAAGAGAUUUUUUUUUCCUUUCCCA
RNAcentral lists this long non-coding RNA (1497 nucleotides) under Anser cygnoides (Swan goose). Its description in RNAcentral is "lncRNA (ENSACDG00005009342.1)". The record is from RNAcentral. Lineage: Eukaryota; Metazoa; Chordata; Aves; Anseriformes; Anatidae.